RNAcentral lists this ribosomal RNA (301 nucleotides) under uncultured bacterium. RNAcentral describes it as "partial 16S ribosomal RNA". It matches the Rfam family "Bacterial small subunit ribosomal RNA", at positions 509 to 807 of the family's 1533-position model. The record is from RNAcentral.
CAGUCGCCGCGGGAAUACGUAGGGCGCAAGCGUUAUCCGGAAUUAUUGGGCGUAAAGAGCUCGUAGGCGGUUUGUCGCGUCUGCCGUGAAAGUCCGGGGCUCAACCCCGGAUCUGCGGUGGGUACGGGCAGACUAGAGUGAUGUAGGGGAGACUGGAAUUCCUGGUGUAGCGGUGAAAUGCGCAGAUAUCAGGAGGAACACCGAUGGCGAAGGCAGGUCUCUGGGCAUUAACUGACGCUGAGGAGCGAAAGCAUGGGGAGCGAACAGGAUUAGAGACCCGUGUAGUCCCUGUCUCUUAUAC